RNAcentral lists this transfer RNA (75 nucleotides) under Merluccius polli (Benguela hake). RNAcentral describes it as "tRNA-Ala". It matches the Rfam family "tRNA". Rfam says of the family: Transfer RNA (tRNA) molecules are approximately 80 nucleotides in length. Their secondary structure includes four short double-helical elements and three loops (D, anti-codon, and T loops). The record is from RNAcentral. Lineage: Eukaryota; Metazoa; Chordata; Actinopteri; Gadiformes; Merlucciidae.
GGUCCUGACUAGCUCAACUGGUAGAGCAUGGCAUUAGCGUUGCCAGGGUUAGGGGUUCGAUUCCCAUUGGGACCA